Molecule: ribosomal RNA, 450 nt
Filed under: uncultured bacterium
Lineage: Bacteria
Description: partial 16S ribosomal RNA
Rfam family: Bacterial small subunit ribosomal RNA
Source: RNAcentral
GUGGGGAAUCUUCCGCAAUGGACGAAAGUCUGACGGAGCGACGCCGCGUGAGUGAAGAAGGCCUUCGGGUCGUAAAGCUCUGUCAUCAGGGACGAACGGCCGGUGGAGUGGAAAGCCAUCGGAUUGACGGUACCUGAGAAGGAAGCCACGGCUAACUACGUGCCAGCAGCCGCGGUAAUACGUAGGUGGCAAGCGAUGUCCGGAAUUAUUGGGCGUAAAGCGCGCGCAGGUGGGAUCUUAAGUCCAUUUUUAAAGUUCGGAGCUCAACUCCGUGAUGGGAUGGAAACUGGGAUUCUUGAGUACCGGAGAGGAAAGCGGAAUUCCCCGUGUAGCGGUAAAAUGCGUAGAUAUGGGGAGGAACACCAGUGGCGAAGGCGGCUUUCUGGACGGUGUCUGACACUGAGGCGCGAGAGCCAGGGGAGCGAACGGGAUUAGAAACCCCUGUAGUCC